RNAcentral lists this long non-coding RNA (1052 nucleotides) under Hordeum vulgare. RNAcentral's name for it is "long non-coding RNA (HVUL_LNC009395)". Lineage: Eukaryota; Viridiplantae; Streptophyta; Magnoliopsida; Poales; Poaceae. The record is from RNAcentral.
CAUUUCCCCAAAGCAAAAGUUGAAACAAAGGUUUCUUGGUCCACUGCAGGUCCUAACUGACGAUUUAGGUCCAACAUGAUGAUGAAUAUGUUUCAAGAUCUUCUAAACCCUGCACCUUUCCAAUUCAUCAUAAUUUUUUCAACAUAUAAUUUAUCUUACAGAGACAAAAAUUUAAACAUUCAGAUUGAUUUGGUGGAUGUACAAGGUUCGAAGGUUGCUCUGGAGCAUCAAUCUAGACGGGGCAUCCUACAACUGAAAAAACCCAGUGCUCUCUAUUUUGAUCUGUUGAAGAAGCUUCUGUUGUCUUAGCUGCUAGCAUUGAUUGUGGUUUCUUGCUUCCGCCUUCUUGUGGUUGCAGAUUGUUUAGCCCAAGCCAUGCUGGUAGCCAUCAAAAUCUGUCGUAUUUUUGGCUUGUGAUCCUCUCCUGACUUAUAUUUGGGUAUUGUGGAUGGCUUGAUAUGCAAAAAGAGGUUAGGGAUUAACGCUUUAUAGCAAAACAAUGGAGAGUUGAAGCUUCUGAACUGGAAGCUUGAACAAACAAAUUGCCAUGGACACUCUACUCCUCAUCAUGUCUUUGAUUAGUGUCAUUGCCACUGAAUAUGAUUCCGAUUUGUUGGUAUAUAAUUGAUUUUCAGAAGUGAUGUUCUUCUGGUGGUUCUCCAGUGGGAUCUGGAUACGAAUCUUCAGUGCAUCUUCUCAAUUUGUUGCGGAACUUCCUAUUUUAAUUUGGCAACUUGUAAAAUAAGUCUGGCUAAAUUUGAUGACUACUGCUGAUUGUAUACUUUUCAACUCAAGUAGCUUGUACAUGUGAGUUUCAUUCAUGCUGGAUAUUCUCAUUCAGGUUCUGGAAUUUAUAGCUUUCCUUAUUUGUGCCCGUAUGUCCCUGCCUUGUGAUCUUGUGCAAAUGUUGUGUGAAUAUUUACUGCCUUUGGUGAGUUGUGUGCGGUGCCAAUCCUGCCUUUGGUUGAUCUUGUGGCUUGUGUACUUAGCUGAAUAUAAUUGGUUGUGGUGUUUGCUAAUUUUUGUGUUUAGUAAGUAGUUUUGUAGUUUAG